Molecule: long non-coding RNA, 3256 nt
Filed under: Bos taurus (domestic cattle)
Lineage: Eukaryota; Metazoa; Chordata; Mammalia; Artiodactyla; Bovidae
Description: long non-coding RNA NONBTAT011304
Source: RNAcentral
GGAUUUUUAACAAUGUUCUGUGUAAUAUCUGUGUUUUGAAUAUUUAAAGAUAUUCUGAUGGUAAGGUUGCCAAAGUAGUUUGAAUUCAUAAAAAUUAUUUAUACCACAAUAAUGUGGGAUAUGUUUACACCUCUUUUAUUUUGUAGUAAUUAUUUUGUAGUUCUGAUCAAUUUGCAUUUAAGUCAUUUACAUUAAGGAAAAUAUUUGUUAGAACAAAUACCUUUUAAUAAUACAAGAGAAAGAUAAAUUGUGCCACAACUUCUGUAUGUAAACGACCACAUCAACAAAGUAACUGCUUUAUAUUAAUAUAGCUUAUUGGUUCUCAUGUGUGCUUCAGCUAGCCAACUACAGUUUCUGCAACCAUUUUUUUUCCUGGUAUUUCCUCUAAGUAAAAUACCUAUGUUUUAAAACCCAUUGGAUUAAUUUUAUCAAGUAUCAGAAUUACUGAUCUGUUGGCAAAGUUUUAUUGGUGUCUCAGUGUGAUCACAACACAGCUUGUAGCAACUGUUUUAUAAAGUUUUUAGAGAAUUGUAUAGCUCCAAAGGAAUUUGUAUAAUAGCAAAAUUUAUUUGAGGGCUAACUGCUAUUAGGCAACUUCAGCAAUUUUACAGAGAGCUCAUGAAGUUAAUCUCAAAAUUGUACUUUUGGGGAUUAACUUACUUUACAAUAUCUACAACUAUUUUCAACACAUUUUACUAUACAUAGACUUCAUUUUUCUCAGUAGCAAUUCCUACAGUAAGCCUUACAAUGUUAUCAAAAACAAUCCCUAUUUCAGUGAGAAAUGACACAUUUUAUUUUUAUAAUCUGGGUGAAAUUGUUGUGGGUAGACACCAAAUAGUUAUUUUUGUUCCCAUAUCUAAAUUUGCUGCUACUUAUUUGUAUGCUUUUUCUACAGUUUAUUGUUGAUUUCAAAAGUUUGGUGGUUAUUGUUAUCUUUAUUGUCGUAAUCUAAGCUGAUUGGGCAGCCAGGGGUACUGGGGUACAGUCCAUCAAUGCUGACUAGGCAGGGUUCAGUGAAUAAAUAAGUAAACCAGUUUUUGUUUGUUUUGUUUUUUUAAUUUACAAAGUGAAAGGUAUUAGCAAUAUUGCAAGUUUAAGACUAUAGUUUUAGGAAGAGGUUCUAAUGUGUUCCUAAAACCAGUACAAGAAUGAAAAUGUUUGAAAGCCUUGUUUUGCUCAUAGAAAGUUUCAGUUAAACACUGUAGAAUUUUCCUACCUAUUGUUGUGUAAAUGAUAUAGAAAAUAUUUUUCUAUGGACAAAAGAUUGAAACUGUUAACUUCUUUUGCUUUGUUCUUUAAAAAGGAAAAAAAAUAAUAUUUGUAUGUCUUUCAUGCUGUAAAGAAAUGAAUGUAUCUUUCAAAUGUUACUAGAAUUAAGACUUGAUCUUAAGGGUAAGGAUACGCUUUGUUUUAAAAAAAAGUUAGCAAGGAAUUGAAAAGGAAAGAGUGUUUCCCAUUUCAUUAUACAAAAUGCAAUUUUAGAAGAAAAUGUCACUUUAUUUAUAAACAAUGAUCAUUAUUGAAGCAUAUUUCAAUAUUUCAAAUACCUUCUUUUUCACUUUGCUUUGUGUUAGCUCUAGAAUAGAAAUUUUCACAAAAAAUGUGUGUAUACUGUUUUUAAGUAUAAGAUUAUUAAAUUGUAGACCUCUGGUUUGGGGGAGUGUGUGUGUGAGGGUAAGCAUUCUGCUGCAUGUGUUUACUGUGAAGGAGAGUUCUCAGGCUCCGUCCCUGUCUCAGCCGCAGAUGAGGACAGCUGUCUGGAGUAUGUGACUUCGGUGAAGCCAGAAAAGUGUGGCUAACACUCACCACAGUAAAUCAGUGCAAAGGCCCUGACAGAUAGUUUGUUUUUUAUUCUCAGUAUUUUGGACAGGUAAAACCACUGAGCCCAACUCUGACCUAUAGCAGUGGUGUCUUACAUGGCUGAGGGUUUAUUAAUUUAGCUGAACAGAAGAAAAAAAAAGCUCUACAUUUUAAACCAACAGGUAUGAUUAAUUUGUUCAACAAUUUCUUUGAAAGGUAGUAUUUAUUAUUCAUCAUGCACUGAGCUUGACUCAGCGGGGCCUUUAUUAUUUGGGCUCCUACUUCCAUUUCUCCAAGGUAAAAAAGGUUUUUAAACUUCCAUUUAUCGUAGUCUUUAUGAUGUAAUAUUUUCCUUCAUUAAUUUUUGUUAUAGUUGUUAAAAGAUUAAUAUCAGGCCCCCUUAACCCUGAGAGUUUCCAAAAUUUAGCAGAUAAUCUGAUAAUCUUAACUAAAAUGUCACAUUGCUACAUGAAAUUAUCACCGUAAAAUCAUUAAGGAGACUCAGCCCUACAAUCUUAGGCUAAAAUAGGUUCUGAUUUGUUUUCCCUAAAUUCACUGUAGGCACGCUUGAACCCAUUUUACCUGUUACUAAAAGAAGCUUCUUCAUUUCUAUUCCUGAAUUGUGUUCCAGUUUUUUGCCAACCCUUCAGCUAGUUGACAAGAUUACUCAAGCUUCCUAGUAUCCAAUAGAGUAGGUCAUAUUUCAUUGCUGAAAUUGAUUUUUUGAAUUUCAAAUAGCACUUUAUUUCAAGCUUACUACUGACUUAAUUUAUACAUUUAAAGAUAAAAUUUAUCCUAGAGUCUUGUAAAUAUGGAAACAUAUAACAUUAGCACGUAGAGCUCAUUGGAUUAGACCCACGUUUAAAUGCUUUACAAUGAUCCCUUGAUCGUUUGAUAUUUAAAAGGUAACUUGUGUGAUUUUAGCUUUGCCACUCUUCUGUAAUUUAUUUGGUACAAUAAAGGCUACCCAGUUGACAGUCUUGCUGGACUCUGAGUUCUCUCAGCUAGCUUCAGCCACAUUUGGUUCACUAAAAUCAUUCUGCUUUGCAUUUUUGUACAUUACAUAAUGAACACCUGGAAUCCAUUUGUUUUGUUUUGAGUUGUACUUAGGUGAUAAGUCAGUGCUUCACCACCAGUAAGUUGAAAGGGGCAAAGUUCUGACACUUUGUAUACAUGUUGAAGGGCAAGAUUUAAGAGACUAAAAGUUUACAUUAAGCUGUUUUCCUUUUCUGUCAUUAGAGUAUUAGUGCUUAGGCAAAUAAAAACUGUCCAGCCUGGUGUUCCAACAGCAUCAGGAUGUUGCAUAUUGUAAUCUUUUCAAAUAAGAAAAGCUAGUCUUUAUUUUCUACAGUGUAGGCUUAAUUUUUAGGACAGAUAGUAUAUGAUAGACUCAUCAGUGAUAUUUUUAAGUAGUAGUUUUAAAAAUAGUAUUUCUAUGUAGAGACUGUUUCAAUUU